RNAcentral lists this ribosomal RNA (502 nucleotides) under uncultured bacterium. Its description in RNAcentral is "bacterial SSU rRNA". It matches the Rfam family "Bacterial small subunit ribosomal RNA", at positions 28 to 514 of the family's 1533-position model. The record is from RNAcentral.
GAUGAACGCUAGCUACAGGCUUAACACAUGCAAGUCGAGGGGAAACGAUAUUGGAAGCUUGCUUCUGAUAGGCGUCGACCGGCGCACGGGUGAGUAACGCGUAUCCAACCUGCCCAUCACUUGGGGAUAACCUUGCGAAAGUAAGACUAAUACCCAAUGACGUCUCUAGAAGACAUCUGAAAGAGAUUAAAGAUUUAUCGGUGAUGGAUGGGGAUGCGUCUGAUUAGCUUGUUGGCGGGGUAACGGCCCACCAAGGCGACGAUCAGUAGGGGUUCUGAGAGGAAGGUCCCCCCACAUUGGAACUGAGACACGGUCCAAAACUCCUACGGGAGGCAGGCAGUGAGGAAUAUUGGUCAAUGGACGAGAGUCUGAACCAGCCAAGUAGCGUGCAGGAUGACGGCCCUAUGGGUUGUAAACUGCUUUUANAAGGGAAUAAAGUGGGAGUCGUGACUCUUUUUGCAUGUACCUUAUGAAUAAGGACCGGCUAAUUCCGUGCCAGCAG